AGAGUGAACGCUGGCGGUAGGCCUAACACAUGCAAGUCGAACGGCAGCACAGUGGUAGCAAUACCAUGGGUGGCGAGUGGCGGACGGGUGAGGAAUACAUCGGAAUCUACCUUUUCGUGGGGGAUAACGUAGGGAAACUUACGCUAAUACCGCAUACGCCCUUCGGGGGAAAGCCGGGGAUCGCAAGACCUGGCGCGGAUAGAUUGAGCCGAUGUCGGAUUAGCUAGUUGGUGAGGUAAUGGCUCACCAAGGCGACGAUCCGUAGCUGGUCUGAGAGGAUGAUCAGCCACACUGGAACUGAGACACGGUCCAGACUCCUACGGGAGCAGCAGUGGGGAAUAUUGGACAAGUGGGCGCGAAGCCUGGAUCCCAGCCCAU
This 378-nucleotide ribosomal RNA is filed under the name uncultured soil bacterium. Its description in RNAcentral is "bacterial SSU rRNA". It matches the Rfam family "Bacterial small subunit ribosomal RNA", at positions 26 to 395 of the family's 1533-position model. The record is from RNAcentral.